AAGUCGUAACAAGGUUUCCGUAGGUGAACCUGCGGAAGGAUCAUUAUUGAAAUAAAACUCAGGCAGGGGGGAGUGUGGUUGUAGCUGGCCCCCUAAUAAGGGCAUGUGCACACUGUCUCUUUCUCUUGUUUGUUUUUUCAUUCUUUCCACUUGUGCACUGCUUGUAGGCAGCCUGGCAUUGUUCGGGUUGUCUAUGAUUUUAUUUUACAUACAUGAAUCAUUGUUGUACAGAAUGUGAUAAAAAAAUAAUAAUACAACUUUCAACAACGGAUCUCUUGGCUCUCGCAUCGAUGAAGAACGCAGCGAAAUGCGAUAAGUAAUGUGAAUUGCAGAAUUCAGUGAAUCAUCGAAUCUUUGAACGCAUCUUGCGCUCCUUGGUAUUCCGAGGAGCAUGCCUGUUUGAGUGUCAUUAAAUUCUGUCAAAACAUGCACUUGAGUGUGUUUUGGAUUGUGGGAGUGUCUGCUGGCUUUAUAUGAGUCAGCUCUCCUGAAAGACAUUAGCUUUGGAGGGAUGUGCCAAGUCACUUCUGCCUUUCCAUUGGUGUGAUAGAUGAAUAAACUUAUCUACGCCAGGAAAGCAGGUUGCAGGUGAUGCACUGUGAUCUCUCUGCUCUCUAAUUGACAUUUGUCU
RNAcentral lists this ribosomal RNA (631 nucleotides) under uncultured Amanita. Its description in RNAcentral is "eukaryotic LSU rRNA". The stretch from base 256 to 409 matches the Rfam family "5.8S ribosomal RNA". The record is from RNAcentral. Lineage: Eukaryota; Fungi; Basidiomycota; Agaricomycetes; Agaricales; Amanitaceae.